Molecule: non-coding RNA, 648 nt
Organism: Epinephelus lanceolatus (giant grouper)
Lineage: Eukaryota; Metazoa; Chordata; Actinopteri; Perciformes; Serranidae
Source: RefSeq, a predicted model, not a curated record
CCAAACCUGAGUGCAGGGUUACCGCGCCCAUCUCUGCUGUUUGAUGGCCGGAGGAAGAAGCGACUGAGAUCCUGGCGUGAAGGAAGAAAAAAGAGGGACGACGACGGUGGGAAAGACAAGAAGGGAUUUUUGCUUUGAGUUGGAAUUUGCGCUGAAAGGGAAGAACGCUCAAACGGGACUCUGACACGUCUAUCUGGGUGAACACCGCCUUGUCUCUGCGCCUCUGUGCCGGUGUGUCUCCCCCCUCGGCGGGUCAAAAACUGGGUUCGGGGAGUGCCGCUCCUCGGUAGCUAAACUAGCUAAAUCUUAGCGCCUGGGCGGAGAGAGGAGAGACAAGAUUUUGCUGUUUCCAGUCAAUGUGAUAUAAACAACGGAUACCCUCGACUGAAAGCGGAUCAGCAAGAGUCUAGGCGGCGGAGCGAAGCACACCAUUAGCAGAGGAAAAUGAGUGAACUGGAUCAGCUACGCCAGGAGGCUGAGCAGCUCAAGAACCAGAUCAGAGAUGCCAGGAAAGCGUGUGCGGAUGCUACCCUGUCUCAGAUCACAGCUAACAUCGACCCUGUUGGCCGAAUUCAGAUGCGCACUAGACGGACACUGAGGGGGCAUCUGGCUAAAAUCUAUGCCAUGCACUGGGGCACUGACUCAAGG